Brassica oleracea var. oleracea is the source of this 564-nucleotide long non-coding RNA. RefSeq lists it as uncharacterized. The transcript has 3 exons. Lineage: Eukaryota; Viridiplantae; Streptophyta; Magnoliopsida; Brassicales; Brassicaceae. The record is from RefSeq and is a predicted model, not a curated record.
UAGCCAGUUUUUAUAAAUGAUUAUCAUCAUGGUCAUAGACAUGUCUGGUGAAUCUAAGCCAUCGUAAGUGUGAUCAAUAAAAAUCAGAUCUUUUCUUUCCGUCUCUUUGUUAUAAUUUUUGUGGUCAUAGACAUUUGCAUUGACACUUUGUGUCCGAUGUGGUGUAUAACCACAGCGGUAUUUCUGGAGGGGUUUCCUCGAGUCCAAAAUUCGAAUCAAAGAUUCAUGAAUUCAUAGAAAAGGUUCCAGCACAUGGUUGAUGCUUGUGGUGUGAACAAAUCACUGAAGAAUGUGGCUUUAAAGAAGGUGAUAACGUGAUCAUAGAAUAGCUAGAGUUGGUGUGGCAUGACUCAACCAAUGGCUCGAUCAAGACUAUGACACUCAGAUAGAUGGCCUCAAUGGAAAUGAACCAUCUUAGUUCUCUUGUGGAGUGUUUCUUAUACCGACCCUAAAAGUGAAUCAGGUGUCUUUUCCAGUCAAUGAUUACCCAACAAGUUUCAGAUCACUGAAUCAAUUUCUAUAUAUGUUUUUCGUACAAAAAUGAAUUUAUGCCUAAAUAGAACA